This 22-nucleotide microRNA is filed under the name Limulus polyphemus (Atlantic horseshoe crab). RNAcentral describes it as "Lpo-Mir-1-P14_3p (mature (guide))". The record is from RNAcentral. Lineage: Eukaryota; Metazoa; Arthropoda; Merostomata; Xiphosura; Limulidae.
UGGAAUGUAAAGAAGUAUGGCG